Populus nigra (black poplar) is the source of this 2430-nucleotide RNA transcript. It is a transcript of the gene named DEAD-box ATP-dependent RNA helicase 30-like, with no coding region annotated. The transcript is spliced from 11 exons. NCBI's taxonomy places the organism in Eukaryota, Viridiplantae, Streptophyta, Magnoliopsida, Malpighiales, Salicaceae. The record is from RefSeq and is a predicted model, not a curated record.
UCAAAGCGGUAGCUUUAGAAAGUAAACUAAUCGGAGGAGUAAAGUAUAUACUGAGAAAAAAAAUUAUUAUUUCCCGCGAUCUGAUAAAUAAAAACAAAUUUCAGUCUUCUUCUCAUUCAAUUGUCCCUAAAAAUUAGAAGAAAAUCGAAUUAACCCUAGCUGAGCCAGUAAGCAGAAAUCAAAUUGCUGCCAAUGAUGAACCCUUACGAUAACCGGUACACCGACCCCGACUCUUACCGUCACCGUCGCAGUGAUUUAAUGGGCCAACAGCCUCCACUGGGGGCCACUUACGGACGCGGUGGACCUGUUCCUUAUGGAAGUGGAGGUGGUCCUCUGCCUCCGUCUUUUGCGAAUAGAGGAGGUCCUGCUCCAGUUGGUGGAGGUUAUCCUGCGUUUGAGCCCCCUGCUAGUGGAUUCAGUGUUGGACGGGGUGGCGGCGGAGGAGGGGGAAGGGGAAGGGGGUUCAGUGGUGGCCGUGGAUCUAAUUUUUAUACUGGGGAUAGAAGAAAUGAUGCUGGUCAUGGGAGAGGCUGGAAUUCUGGCCGUGGUGGUGGCCGUGGUGGGAGGGGGUAUGGUGGUGGUGGAAGAGGAGGGAGGCAUGGAGGGGGAGGUCCAAAAGGAGAAUUGGAUAAUAUUGCACUUCCAAAGCAGGAUUUUGGGAAUUUGGUACCUUUCGAGAAGAAUUUCUACUUUGAGAAUCCUUCGAUUAGGGCUUUGUCUGAGCAUGAAGUGGUGAUGUAUCGUACAAGAAGAGAGAUUACUGUUGAAGGCCAUGAUGUGCCUAAGCCUAUUCGCCUGUUUCAUGAGGCCAAUUUCCCUGAUUACUGCUUACAGGUGAUUGCUAAGUUGGGUUUUGUUGAGCCAACACCAAUUCAGGCUCAAGGGUGGCCGAUGGCUCUAAAGGGUAGAGAUUUAAUUGGCAUUGCUGAGACCGGUUCUGGUAAGACAUUGGCAUACAUGCUACCAGCUUUUGUGCAUGUUGCUGCGCAGCCUCGAUUGGUACAAGGUGAUGGUCCGAUUGUGUUAGUAUUAGCACCUACCAGAGAGCUGGCAGUUCAAAUUCAAGAAGAAGGUUUAAAGUUUGGUUCACAUGCUAAUAUUAGGAGCACUUGCAUAUAUGGUGGUGCUCCCAAGGGACCCCAAAUUCGUGAUCUCCAAAGAGGUGUUGAAAUUGUCAUCGCUACCCCUGGUCGACUAAUAGAUAUGCUGGAAGCUCAACACACAAAUUUGCGAAGAGUCACAUACCUGGUGUUGGACGAGGCUGAUCGAAUGUUGGACAUGGGGUUUGAGCCUCAAAUUAGGAAAAUUAUAUCUCAAAUUCGACCAGAUAGACAGACAUUAUAUUGGAGUGCAACAUGGCCCAGGGAGGUUGAAAUUUUAGCAAGGCAGUUUUUGCACAACGCGUACAAGGUAAUCAUAGGAUCAGCAGAUUUAAAAGCAAACCAAUCUAUAAACCAAGUUGUUGAGGUCGUCAUGGACAUGGAGAAGUAUAAUAGGCUGAUCAAAUUGCUGAAAGAAGUGAUGGAUGGAAGUCGGAUUCUGAUUUUCAUGGAGACAAAAAAAGGCUGUGACCAAGUUACAAGGCAGUUGAGAAUGGAUGGAUGGCCAGCAUUAUCCAUCCAUGGUGAUAAAAACCAGGCUGAAAGGGACUGGGUCCUGGCAGAAUUCAAAAGUGGCAGAAGUGCGAUAAUGACUGCCACUGAUGUUGCUGCACGGGGUCUUGAUGUGAAGGACAUAAAAUGUGUUAUCAACUAUGAUUUUCCUUCCAGCCUCGAGGAUUAUGUUCACAGGAUAGGCCGAACUGGUCGUGCAGGAGCUAGGGGAACUGCCUUUACCUUUUUCACGGAUUCAAAUGCAAAGUUUGCCAGGGGUCUAAUUAGAAUUCUGCAAGAGUCAGGGCAGAUUGUGCCUCCAGCAUUAUCUGCUUUGGCUCGGUCAUCUGGUUCUUUUGGAGGUUCUGCAGGUAACUUCCGUUCCAGAGGACGAGGAGGCAGCUUUGGCAACAGGGGUUCGAUUUCAGGAUCUAAUACUGUGCCUCUUGGUGCUCGUAGGCCUUGGUAAUUUAAUGAACAAUUGCAGCGUUUCCAGAGUCUACCAUAUAAUAGGAAAACCAUCUCUGUGGUGGUUGCUGCCUUGGUGUUGAUCUUUUGUUUUGACGAGAUGUGUUGAAAAAUCAUAAACGCAACCGAGUUACGAGGAUCUUUCUCACGCACAAACAUGCAGGGAAGCCGAGUAUUUGUCCAAUUUCCAUCCGAAAAACCUUCCUGCAUGUUCGAGAAAUUGUCUUUAACAUGAAGAGGUAACAAAAGUAGUGAGUUUAUCCACACAGCACAUCAUAUUUGUAUGUUGCCUUUCACUUUAAAACAUCAACUCAAGUCUUGUAAUUGUGAGAGAUCUUUCUACUUGAAAAGAGAUUAUUAUCAGUUCAAA